AUGCUGAAAGUAUCCCAUUAGUACAAUUGCCUUCCAAGCACAUAAGUCCUCAUAAAGGUCAGCAUA
This 66-nucleotide transfer RNA is filed under the name Potamilus alatus. RNAcentral describes it as "tRNA-Gly". The record is from RNAcentral. Lineage: Eukaryota; Metazoa; Mollusca; Bivalvia; Unionida; Unionidae.